Molecule: ribosomal RNA, 669 nt
Filed under: uncultured ciliate
Lineage: Eukaryota; Ciliophora
Description: SSU rRNA
Rfam family: Eukaryotic small subunit ribosomal RNA
Source: RNAcentral
UGGUAGUGUAUUGGACUACCAUGGCGAUCACGGGUAACGGAGAAUUAGGGUUCGAUUCCGGAGAGGGAGCCUGAGAAACGGCUACCACAUCUAAGGAAGGCAGCAGGCGCGUAAAUUACCCAAUCCUGACUCAGGGAGGUAGUGACAAGAAAUAACGACCCGUGCACCGUACGGUGUUUCGGGAUUGUAAUGAGAACAAUGUAAAUAUCUUAGCGAGGAACAAUUGGAGGGCAAGUCUGGUGCCAGCAGCCGCGGUAAUUCCAGCUCCAAUAGCGUAUAUUAAAGUUGUUGCAGUUAAAAAGCUCGUAGUCGAAUUUCUGGUUGGCGUUGUCGAGGCUUCGGUCUCGGCAAUGUGCAGCCAUCCUCAUGAGAACCAGUGAUGCCUUAACUGGUACUUGCUGGGUAUCAUGAAUUUUACUUUGAAUAAAUUAGAGUGUUUCAGGCAGGCGAUUGCCCGAAUACAUUAGCAUGGAAUAAUGGAAAAGGACUUUGGUCCAUUUUGUUGGUUAUUGGCCAAAGUAAUGAUUAAUAGGGACAGUUGGGGGCAUUAGUAUUUAAUUGUCAGAGGUGAAAUUCUUGGAUUUAUUAAAGACUAACUAAUGCGAAAGCAUUUGCCAAGGAUGUUUUCAUUGAUCAAGAACGAAAGUUAGGGGAUCAAAGACGAUCAGA